This 328-nucleotide unclassified non-coding RNA is filed under the name soil metagenome. RNAcentral's name for it is "partial contains 5.8S ribosomal RNA, internal transcribed spacer 2, and large subunit ribosomal RNA". The stretch from base 1 to 120 matches the Rfam family "5.8S ribosomal RNA", at positions 35 to 154 of the family's 154-position model. The record is from RNAcentral.
GAUGAAGAACGUAGCGAAAUGCGAUAAGUAAUGUGAAUUGCAGAAUUCAGUGAAUCAUCGAAUCUUUGAACGCACAUUGCGCCCCUUGGUAUUCCGAGGGGCAUGCCUGUUCGAGCGUCAUUAUAACCCCUCAAGCUCAGCUUGGUGUUGGGGCCUGCUGCACUGGCAGCCCUUAAAAUCAGUGGCGGCGCCAUCUGGCUCUAAGCGUAGUAAUUCUUCUCGCUAUGGAGUCCUGGUGGAUGCUCCCAUCAACCCCCAAUUUUUCUAUGGUUGACCUCGGAUCAGGUAGGGAUACCCGCUGAACUUAAGCAUAUCAAUAAGCGGAGGA